RNAcentral lists this ribosomal RNA (446 nucleotides) under uncultured bacterium. RNAcentral's name for it is "partial 16S ribosomal RNA". It matches the Rfam family "Bacterial small subunit ribosomal RNA", at positions 338 to 795 of the family's 1533-position model. The record is from RNAcentral.
CCUACGGGUGGCAGCAGUCGAGAAUCAUUCACAAUGGGGGAAACCCUGAUGGUGCGACGCCGCGUGGGGGAAUGAAGGUCUUCGGAUUGUAAACCCCUGUCAUGUGGGAGCAAAUGAAAAAGAUAGUACCACAAGAGGAAGAGACGGCUAACCUUGUCCCAGCAGCAGCGGUAAUACAGGGGUCUCAAGCGUUGUUCGGAAUCACUGGGCGUAAAGGGUGCGGAGGCUGUUUCGUAAGUCCAGUGUGAAAGGGGCGGGCUCAACCCGCGGACGGCACAUGAUACUGCGAGACUAGAGUGAUCGAGGGGGAACCGGAAUUCGCGGUGUAGCAGUGAAAUGCGUAGAUAUCGAGAGGAACACUCGUGGCGAAGGCGGGUUCCUGGACAUUAACUGACGCUGAGGCACGAAGGCCAGGGGAGCGAAAGGGAUUAGAUACCCUUGUAGUC